RNAcentral lists this ribosomal RNA (390 nucleotides) under uncultured bacterium. RNAcentral's name for it is "bacterial SSU rRNA". It matches the Rfam family "Bacterial small subunit ribosomal RNA", at positions 29 to 418 of the family's 1533-position model. The record is from RNAcentral.
AUUGAACGCUGGCGGAAUGCUUUACACAUGCAAGUCGAGCGGCAGCGCGGGGGCAACCCUGGCGGCGAGCGGCGAACGGGUGAGUAACAUAUCGGAACGUACCCAGUCGUGGGGGAUAACUAUCCGAAAGGAUAGCUAAUACCGCAUACGUCCUGAGGGAGAAAGCGGGGGAUCGCAAGGCCUCGCGCGAUUGGAGCGGCCGAUAUCGGAUUAGCUAGUUGGUGGGGUAAAGGCUCACCAAGGCGACGAUCCGUAGCGGGUCUGAGAGGACGACCCGCCACACUGGAACUGAGACACGGUCCAGACUCCUACGGGAGGCAGCAGUGGGGAAUUUUGGACAAUGGGGGCGAACCCUCGAUCCAGCCAUUCCGCGUGAGUGAAGAAGGCCUC